CCAGCAGCCAUGUGCCAAACCCUCCUGGGAGGAUGAAGGUUUAAAGUGCUCCUACAGUCAGAUUGAAACAACUGAAAACUCUGUGCCCCAGUGCUCCUGACCAGGAUCAAGGAGAACCUUUGCUUCUCAGCUGCUCCAUAUUUUUGGACAAGGUGGCCAGAAGGAGUUAGAAGUAAAGAUAAUGUGAAAAUCCCAGUACGUUAUCAACUGGUGACAGAAAAGCAAACAAGUUCAUUAUAAACACUCUCCAUGAAAAUCGAGGCUUCCACAGCUGGCUGUUCUAUGGAUAAUAAUGGAAUAUUCAGAAGCCUCUUGGCCUCAGUUUUUAAAAGUGUUAGGUAUAAUCAUGACA
This is a long non-coding RNA of Tachyglossus aculeatus (Australian echidna), 352 nucleotides long. RefSeq lists it as uncharacterized. NCBI's taxonomy places the organism in Eukaryota, Metazoa, Chordata, Mammalia, Monotremata, Tachyglossidae. The transcript is spliced from 3 exons. The record is from RefSeq and is a predicted model, not a curated record.